UGACACCUCUCCCCUCGUCGCUUCGCUCUCGAUCUCUCUCCCUCUCAGCCCCGCUUUCGAAUUUUGUUUAGGGUUUAUCGGGCGGGUUUAUUUUUGUUUUAGUUUCCAGUUCUAUCUUCGAUUUGAGCUUCCACAAGCGCUACCUUCCUGCCUGCUUCCUGCUCUGUCCUUCUCGAUUCUUCUUGUCGUGAAACCCUAGAUCUUGCCUUGCUCCGUUUGAGUUUCUUUUUUCGUGGGCGAAUGCGACCGGGAUCUUUGAGGAAUACAAUUUGGAAUCUCGGCGGCCGUAAGCGAGCGCAUCAGCUGCUGCGUCAAUUCCCAGUGGCUCCACCUCGGGUGUUGGUUCAAAUGCUACUGAAAUCUAAGGUUUUCGACAGUGUCAUCUUUAGGAAUCCAUUUCUGAAGCCAUUGUUUCUUGCCGUGAAGAUAUGAUCAGUUGAACAUGAGCGAUGGUGGCAGGGAGAGUGAAAGGGAUCAUGAGAUCAGGUCGAAGAAGGAUCAGCCAUCUGCGGGUGACGAGUUUGGUCGUGCUGUAGCCAAGGUUGCCGUAGCUCAGAUUUGUGAGUCGACUGGUUUCCACGGAUGCAAUCUCUCUUCUGUUGAUGCUUUCUCCGAGGUAGUGGUCCGAUACAUCUAUGAUUUAGGCGAAAGUGCGAGGUUUUAUGCUAAUUUAGCUGGGAGGACAGACUGCAAUGUGUCCGACAUCAUCCAGAGCUUAGAGGAUUUGAGUGCGCCAUUGGGUUUUCCUGGCGCAUCCGAUAUACAUCGUUGUUUUGUUGGUUCGGGUGUUACUCGAGAGAUUACCCAGUACGUCAACUCAGUUGAUGAAGUUCCAUUUGCUAAGCCCAUUCCCAAAUUUCCUAUUUCUCGGUUGCCCAAGUCUUCAUCGAGCUUCACUCAUGUUGGUUUGGAGCCAGCGGGAAAACACAUUCCAGAUUGGCUUCCGAGGCUUCCAGAGCCUCAUACCUAUGUUCACACGCCAGUUUGGAACAAAAGGGCCAGUGAUAACAAAGUAGAAAAAAUCAAACAGGCAAAUCAGCGGAGGAAGACCGAGAUGUCAUUGUUAGGGGUACAGCAACGACUUGCUUCCAAUGCUGCAGCUGGGUUUCAACCUAUCAACAGCGAUGAUGCCAGGAAGGAUAAACAAGUGGUUGCUAGUACUAGCAACCCUUUUCUAGCCCCACCUUUAACAUACACUGAGAAGGAAGUAUCUGAAGUUGCUAUUCCACGUGAAAUGGAUGAAGGCAAGAAAUUGUCAGCAGUCGAAACUUUGCCUCCAAUCGCUGAGGCAGUGAAGUCGGACUCUCUUGACUUGGAUUCAUCCGAGAAAAAAUUACUCCUUACAAGCAGGCCUACUGUGCAUUUUAAGAUUGGCACUGAAAAGAAGUCUAUAGCAUCUUCAUUAUCUGCUAUGACUACUAGAAAGGAUACAUGGCCUUUCAGGGAUGAAGAAAAGGAUGACAAGAAGAAGAGAGCAGAAAUGAUACUAAGAGAAGCUAUGGAGAAACCACAUGAUCUUGCUCAGCUUUAAAGUACUUGUAGAUGGAUUUGCUGUGCCAAAAUGUAAACAGAAUUUCCCAGCACAUCACAUCUGGUGGGAAUUUGAACUUUUUUGUUUGAGUGGGUCAAAUUGGUUCAGAAAUAUUAGAUCUUCCAAUUUUGAUGAGCAUGCAUACACAGGAAGAUAGUUCCGCAUUAUCUUUUCUUGCAAAACUGUCAGGUGUUAGUAAUGUAUUGAAAUGAAAAAUCUGCCAAGAAUGGGACGAUGGGAUUUCAUUGUGACAGUGGGCAAGGCUAAUGGCGCCCAAUAGAUUCUGAUGAAAGGGUUGAAGUAAUUUUUCAUGCUCUUGGCUUGAUGCUCCAUAUUAGAUACUAUUUAUAUGAAAUUGUUUUGGAUACAAUUUGAAUUGAAACAUAUCGCUAUGAUUGUUUUAGUAUUUGAUUCAUCUGAAGUUUGAAUUGUAUAUUAGAAAUCAUUGAUUUUGUGUUGCUAACAACUAUACCCACAAUCUUCAGAAUAUAUUGGAUCACUGAAUCCUCAUGUUUUAU
This is an RNA transcript of Zingiber officinale, 2049 nucleotides long. It is a transcript of the gene named transcription initiation factor TFIID subunit 8-like, with no coding region annotated. The record is from RefSeq and is a predicted model, not a curated record. The transcript is spliced from 2 exons. NCBI's taxonomy places the organism in Eukaryota, Viridiplantae, Streptophyta, Magnoliopsida, Zingiberales, Zingiberaceae.